This 375-nucleotide ribosomal RNA is filed under the name uncultured organism. RNAcentral's name for it is "bacterial SSU rRNA". It matches the Rfam family "Bacterial small subunit ribosomal RNA", at positions 526 to 896 of the family's 1533-position model. The record is from RNAcentral.
CGGGGGGAGCAAGCGUUGUUCGGAUUUACUGGGCGUAAAGGGCGCGUAGGCGGCCACCGCAAGUCAGUUGUGAAAUCUCUGGGCUUAACCCAGAAAGGUCAACUGAUACUGCGGGGCUAGAGUGCAGAAGGGGCAACUGGAAUUCUCGGUGUAGCGGUGAAAUGCGUAGAUAUCGAGAGGAACACCUGCGGCGAAGGCGGGUUGCUGGGCUGACACUGACGCUGAAGCGCGAAAGCUAGGGGAGCGAACGGGAUUAGAUACCCCGGUAGUCCUAGCCUUAAACGAUGAAUGCUUGGUGUCUGGGGGUUUUAUAGUCCCCGGGUGCCGUCGCUAACGCUUUAAGCAUUCCGCCUGGGGAGUACGGUCGCAAGACUG